AACUUAUGAUGAUCCUCAGUAAUGCUGUGUACUACUGACUAUGAAGUGAGGAAGUCAACCUUGGAGAGUUGUGUU
This is a small nucleolar RNA of Sciurus vulgaris (Eurasian red squirrel), 75 nucleotides long. Lineage: Eukaryota; Metazoa; Chordata; Mammalia; Rodentia; Sciuridae. The record is from Ensembl.